CACCCGAGUGAGAGAAAAAGUGAAUUCUGUGUUGAUUUGUUGACUCUCAACAUACUCGUUUUGGUGCGAAAGUCGCUGGAAGUUUCCUGAGAGAAACAGAGAAAGCAUUCAUGUAUGUAACAUAGAGAGAUGAGAGAGGGGACAUCGACUUGAGAUCUUCUUCAUCCCUCAGAUUCUAUUCUACACACAGACAGACAGUGCAUGCGCAGCUCAAAACAAUAGGUGACUAACUACUGACAAACUACGCUCUCUCACUCACUCAAUGGCGUUUGAAAGAAGAAUAUUAUCAUCCAUCUUUAAUAAGAAUAAGAAUAAUAACAUCAACGAUGAUGACGGUAACUACAAGUCCCGCUGUUCAGAUCAAGAAAGGAAUUUCUUGGAAAACGGAAGCAUGUUUUUGGAGGAUCUUAUUGCUUUUUCAAAUG
Camellia sinensis is the source of this 425-nucleotide long non-coding RNA. RefSeq lists it as uncharacterized. The record is from RefSeq and is a predicted model, not a curated record. Lineage: Eukaryota; Viridiplantae; Streptophyta; Magnoliopsida; Ericales; Theaceae.